RNAcentral lists this ribosomal RNA (517 nucleotides) under uncultured bacterium. RNAcentral's name for it is "partial 16S ribosomal RNA". It matches the Rfam family "Bacterial small subunit ribosomal RNA", at positions 28 to 523 of the family's 1533-position model. The record is from RNAcentral.
GACGAACGCUGGCGGCGUGCUUAACACAUGCAAGUCGAACGUGAAAUGGAGCAAUCCAGAGUAAAGUGGCGUACGGGUGAGUAACACGUAGGUAAUCUACCCUAGAGUUUGGAAUAACCUGCCGAAAGGCGGGCUAAUACUGGAUAGAGCGACGGAAUCCGUAAUCGGAUUUUUCGGGAAAGGGAGCCUGAUAAGGGCCCUCGCUUUAGGAUGAGCCUGCGUCUGAUUAGCUAGUUGGUGAGGUAACGGCUCACCAAGGCGAUGAUCAGUAGCUGGUCUGAGAGGAUGAUCAGCCACACUGGAACUGAAACACGGUCCAGACUCCUACGGGAGGCAGCAGUGGGGAAUCUUGCGCAAUGGACGAAAGUCUGACGCAGCCACGCCGCGUGAGUGAAGAAGGCCUUCGGGUUGUAAAGCUCUGUCGGGCGGGACGAAAAACUGAACAGUUAAGAGCUGGUCAGUCUGACGGUACCGCCAAAGGAAGCACCGGCUAACUUCGUGCCAGCAGCCGCCGUAA